This 440-nucleotide ribosomal RNA is filed under the name uncultured bacterium. RNAcentral describes it as "partial 16S ribosomal RNA". It matches the Rfam family "Bacterial small subunit ribosomal RNA", at positions 338 to 795 of the family's 1533-position model. The record is from RNAcentral.
CCUACGGGAGGCAGCAGUGGGGAAUAUUGCACAAUGGGCGAAAGCCUGAUGCAGCGACGCCGCGUGAGUGAAGAAGUAUUUCGGUAUGUAAAGCUCUAUCAGCAGGGAAGAAAAUGACGGUACCUGACUAAGAAGCCCCGGCUAACUACGUGCCAGCAGCCGCGGUAAUACGUAGGGGGCAAGCGUUAUCCGGAUUUACUGGGUGUAAAGGGAGCGUAGACGGCGAAGCAAGUCUGAAGUGAAAACCCAGGGCUCAACCCUGGGACUGCUUUGGAAACUGUUUUGCUAGAGUGUCGGAGAGGUAAGUGGAAUUCCUAGUGUAGCGGUGAAAUGCGUAGAUAUUAGGAGGAACACCAGUGGCGAAGGCGGCUUACUGGACGAUAACUGACGUUGAGGCUCGAAAGCGUGGGGAGCAAACAGGAUUAGAUACCCUUGUAGUC